This 446-nucleotide ribosomal RNA is filed under the name uncultured Actinomycetes bacterium. RNAcentral describes it as "bacterial SSU rRNA". It matches the Rfam family "Bacterial small subunit ribosomal RNA", at positions 335 to 793 of the family's 1533-position model. Lineage: Bacteria; Bacillati; Actinomycetota; Actinomycetes. The record is from RNAcentral.
ACUCCUACGGGAGGCAGCAGUGGGGAAUAUUGCGCAAUGGGCGAAAGCCUGACGCAGCGACGCCGCGUGAGGGAUGAAGGCCUUCGGGUUGUAAACCUCUUUCAGCAGGGAAGAAGCGAAAGUGACGGUACCUGCAGAAGAAGCACCGGCUAACUACGUGCCAGCAGCCGCGGUAAUACGUAGGGUGCAAGCGUUGUCCGGAAUUAUUGGGCGUAAAGAGCUCGUAGGCGGUCUGUCGCGUCUGCUGUGAAAACUCGGGGCUUAACCCCGGGCCUGCAGUGGGUACGGGCAGACUAGAGUGCGGUAGGGGAGACUGGAAUUCCUGGUGUAGCGGUGAAAUGCGCAGAUAUCAGGAGGAACACCGGUGGCGAAGGCGGGUCUCUGGGCCGAUACUGACGCUGAGGAGCGAAAGCGUGGGGAGCGAACAGGAUUAGAUACCCUGGUAG